Molecule: ribosomal RNA, 425 nt
Filed under: uncultured bacterium
Lineage: Bacteria
Description: bacterial SSU rRNA
Rfam family: Bacterial small subunit ribosomal RNA
Source: RNAcentral
GGGGAAUAUUGCGCAAUGGGCGAAAGCCUGACGCAGCGACGCCGCGUGAGGGAUGAAGGUUUUCGGAUCGUAAACCUCUGUCAGAAGGGAAGAAACUACAUUGUGCUAAUCAGCAGUGUACUGACGGUACCUUCAAAGGAAGCACCGGCUAACUCCGUGCCAGCAGCCGCGGUAAUACGGAGGGUGCAAGCGUUAAUCGGAAUUACUGGGCGUAAAGCGCACGUAGGCUGUAGUGUAAGUCAGGGGUGAAAUCCCACGGCUCAACCGUGGAACUGCCUUUGAUACUGCACAACUUGAAUCCGGGAGAGGGUGGCGGAAUUCCAGGUGUAGGAGUGAAAUCCGUAGAUAUCUGGAGGAACAUCAGUGGCGAAGGCGGCCACCUGGACCGGUAUUGACGCUGAGGUGCGAAAGCGUGGGGAGCAAAC